RNAcentral lists this long non-coding RNA (872 nucleotides) under Musa acuminata (dwarf banana). Its description in RNAcentral is "long non-coding RNA (MACU_LNC000076)". Lineage: Eukaryota; Viridiplantae; Streptophyta; Magnoliopsida; Zingiberales; Musaceae. The record is from RNAcentral.
CAGCACCAGCACCAGCAAUCGCUUUUCCUCCGAUCGGUGAAGCAAAGAACGCUUGCUGCGCCCUCCAUCGCCACGCUUUCCCCGGCCGUCGUCGGGGCUUUCCCCUGCAACUCGUUCUCUGCCGCGACCCAGAGCUCGGUUUCCACCUCGUCGACCGUCACUUCCGCCGGGUUCGCGUUCCCACGGAGACCCGAGUUGCUCGCCGGGUCGGUGCCGGAGGUGAGGUCUUCCGGCUCGUUGCGGGACCAGCUCAAGGAGCUGGAGCGGCGGCUACUGUUGGAUGACGAGGAGGAGGAGGCCAGCGCUUCGGGUUCUGCCGUCACCCAUGCCGCGUGGAGCGAGGCGAUCCAGAGUCUCAUGUCGACGCCCCAGCCCCCGGUGGCCACGACGACUGCGGGCCACCUCUCGCCAUCCCCGACCAGCUCCUCGUCCUCCACCAUCUCCUCCUCCGCCUCCUGCUCGCCUCCUUCUUCCAUGCCUUCCCCUCCUCCCCCUCCCACUGGAACCUCGAGGCAGAUGCUCCUCGACACCGCCACCGCCAUCGGCGAAGGGAAUCUGCAUGCGGCGACGGCGAAUCUCGCGGUGAUCAAGGCUGCGGCCAACCCUCGCGGCGACGCGGAGCAGCGUCUCACGGCGAUGAUGUACGCCACGCUCUUCUCUCGCCUCAACAACCUGCAGACGGGAAGCUCCCACGCGGUGGCCGAGCUCCGCAGCCCGGAGCACUUCGCGGCGACCCAGAUGCUCUACGAUCUCUCCCCCUGCUUCAAGCUCGCGUUCAUCGCUGCCAAUCACGCGAUCUUGGAGGCCACGAAGGACGAGCCCAACAUCCACAUACUUGACUUCGAAGUCGGGCACGGCAGUCAAUACGCGGC